RNAcentral lists this non-coding RNA (150 nucleotides) under human gut metagenome. The record is from RNAcentral.
GAGGCUUAGAAGUUCUUAAUGUUCUGGAUAAUAACAGCAAUGUUUGAACACGAUGUUCAAACAAGCCGCCACUGAGCCAUGGAUGGCGAAUUGGCGGCGGUUGCGUACGAUGAUAGUAUUGUAUAACAGAACAUUUAGAACUCCUUGGCC